UUGAAUUGAAGAGUUUGAUCAUGGCUCAGAUUGAACGCUGGCGGCAGGCUUAACACAUGCAAGUCGAACGGUAGCAGGAAGAAGCU
RNAcentral lists this ribosomal RNA (86 nucleotides) under Glaesserella parasuis. RNAcentral's name for it is "partial 16S ribosomal RNA". It matches the Rfam family "Bacterial small subunit ribosomal RNA", at positions 1 to 84 of the family's 1533-position model. Lineage: Bacteria; Pseudomonadati; Pseudomonadota; Gammaproteobacteria; Pasteurellales; Pasteurellaceae. The record is from RNAcentral.